ACCUUUUCACGGGGUUUCGGCUAAGAUCAAAUGUAGUAUAUACGUUCUUACCAGUUUAAUACCUGAUGCGUGUUCCAUUGGACCACAUGACAUUAAAAUUUUAUUUUUUUCAAUAGCUAAUGCAAGGCCUAGAACCCCCUUGGACAUGAGCCUGUUUAGAAGAGGAGAUUGCUAAGGCCUCUUAUUAGCAAAUGAGU
This 197-nucleotide small nuclear RNA is filed under the name Amborella trichopoda. RNAcentral describes it as "snRNA U2". The stretch from base 1 to 140 matches the Rfam family "U2 spliceosomal RNA". From Rfam's summary of the family: U2 is a small nuclear RNA (snRNA) component of the spliceosome (involved in pre-mRNA splicing). Complementary binding between U2 snRNA (in an area lying towards the 5' end but 3' to hairpin I) and the branchpoint sequence (BPS) of the intron results the bulging out of an unpaired adenosine, on the BPS, which initiates a nucleophilic attack at the intronic 5' splice site, thus starting the first of two transesterification reactions that mediate splicing. The record is from RNAcentral. Lineage: Eukaryota; Viridiplantae; Streptophyta; Magnoliopsida; Amborellales; Amborellaceae.